UUAACAAGAUCCAAGGGUUGUGAAUGCUUACAGAUAGAAAUCAUUUACACUUCUACAUAGCAUAUACGUGUCAUUUAAGAAUCUAAAUGCAUACACAUAUAUAAAUAUGGCUUAAUUGUUAUCAAGGCAUAACUACUUUAAAUCUUCUUAUGACUAAAGACAUGGUUGGUCAUCCAAGUCAAUGAUCCAGACCAUUCAUGAAGUUCUACAUAUCUUAAAGAUACAAGGACGUAAGUGGUUGGAAAAAUUGCUAUUAUACAUCAAACAAAUCACCUAUUAAAAACCCAUCCAUUUCAUGAUCAUCUGGCACACAGGUGAUACAUCGCCAAAACCUUUGAAAUUUUGUUUUAGACACUCCUGAUAGAUCUUGAAAGGAAUGGAUUACCGAUUAGAAUGUCCAUUGCAUAGUAUAAAUAGGCAUAACUGAGUUUGUUAUGCCCUAUGAAUAUUAAAGCAAGUAAAAUGAUCAAAAGAUGGCAAAAGGUUGGCCUAUCAAAUGUCAGAGCCAAUAGAACUACAACACUUUUUCUUGGUCUUGACAUGGCAAGCCUUAUAGGCAAGGCGGGCAAAUACAUAUCCGCCAUGGCAAUAGAUGGUACAAGAAUAUAC
This 609-nucleotide long non-coding RNA is filed under the name Phoenix dactylifera (date palm). RNAcentral describes it as "long non-coding RNA (PDAC_LNC020273)". The record is from RNAcentral. Lineage: Eukaryota; Viridiplantae; Streptophyta; Magnoliopsida; Arecales; Arecaceae.